This 62-nucleotide ribosomal RNA is filed under the name Colletotrichum gloeosporioides. RNAcentral's name for it is "partial 28S ribosomal RNA". Lineage: Eukaryota; Fungi; Ascomycota; Sordariomycetes; Glomerellales; Glomerellaceae. The record is from RNAcentral.
GACCUCGGAUCAGGUAGGAAUACCCGCUGAACUUAAGCAUAUCAAUAAGCCGGAGGAAGGAA